Molecule: ribosomal RNA, 450 nt
Filed under: uncultured bacterium
Lineage: Bacteria
Description: bacterial SSU rRNA
Rfam family: Bacterial small subunit ribosomal RNA
Source: RNAcentral
UGGGGAAUUUUCCGCAAUGGGCGAAAGCCUGACGGAGUGACGCCGCGUGGGGGACGAAGGCCUUCGGGUUGUAAACCCCUGUCAGAGGGAAAGAAGGGUCGGCGCGUGAAUAGCGCGUCGAUCUGACGGUACCUUCAGAGGAAGCCCCGGCCAACUCUGUGCCAGCAGCCGCGGUAAGACAGAGGGGGCAAGCGUUGCUCGGAAUCACUGGGCGUAAAGGGCGCGUAGGCGGGAUGGCAAGUCGGUCGUGAAAUCCCUGGGCUCAACUCAGGGGGGUCGGCCGAUACUGCCGUUCUUGAGGGAUGCAGAGGAGACUGGAAUUCCCGGUGUAGCGGUGAAAUGUGUAGAGAUCGGGAGGAACACCGGUGGCGAAGGCGGGUCUCUGGGCAUUCCCUGACGCUGAGGCGCGAAAGCGUGGGGAGCAAACGGGAUUAGAUACCCCCGUAGUCC